ACUACCUCUUUAACACCACCAGACCACAAUUUUCCACCAGGUCCGGAAUCAUAACCACACCAGUCAAAACAAUAACCACCUCAACCUUUUAAUCCUACCUGAAUAACUAUAAACAAACUCUAGAUGUCCAAAAUCCAGAUCCAGAGAAGGAGAAUAUAGAGCAGCAUUAGAGAAGAAAACAGAAAAAUAAACACAAACAGAAACCCAACUGCUGCAUAGGUCUGUCCGUCUGAGCAACAAACACUCUCUCCCGGAAAACGUGUUACCUGCGAGUUUCCCUUAUCAGAACAUGAUGGGGGCCCCACUUUUCCACUUCCCAAGUAGGUCAACUUCCGCUGAGUGAAACACCUUCCUUCCUUCUGGAAGCUCAUCAGAGUUUUUUACAGUGUCGAUCUGAGAAGUAGAGAUGCCGGGUUCUGACCCUUUAUGGAUUAGGCGCAUGAUGUUAUACGGAUCUCUAUGUGGCGUAGCCAUUUUAGUGGCUUCCGUUGAAAGUCAGAGUUUUUUCGAUCCUAAACAUCCAAAGGAACAACCGACUGCCGAGGAUGAUCUGAAGAAGCAGCGGCAGCACUUAGAGACCCAUAAUAAAAAUGGUAUGGUAAACAGGGCUGUUGAAUAAGCCACCGUUUCUAGUUUUUGGCUUCAGUAAUUCAACUUUUUAUUUAAGCUUCAAUUUUUUGUUAUAAUCUUUUUGAGAUCUACGGAUGCUAAUUUUAUCAUGUAAAUGUUGUUACUCCAAUCUGUCUGAAUUCAUUUUUGGGUCA
Papaver somniferum (opium poppy) is the source of this 764-nucleotide long non-coding RNA. RefSeq lists it as uncharacterized. The record is from RefSeq and is a predicted model, not a curated record. Lineage: Eukaryota; Viridiplantae; Streptophyta; Magnoliopsida; Ranunculales; Papaveraceae. The transcript has 2 exons.